GAGGUCCUGGGGUGUGCGUACAGCACUAUUCGUUUUAAAGCCAACACUUUUUGAUAGGGAGCCUGAACGUUUCAACUGGAAGUAAACGCCCUUACAGGGACUUACGGAAGGCUGAACAGGGCACCCACCUGCCAUUGCAGGCUUCAAAACUAGGUGAUAUUUACGGCACAACGGGGCUUCU
Molecule: non-coding RNA, 181 nt
Filed under: Salicibibacter kimchii
Lineage: Bacteria; Bacillati; Bacillota; Bacilli; Caryophanales; Bacillaceae
Description: 6S RNA
Rfam family: 6S / SsrS RNA
About the family: E. coli 6S RNA was the first non coding RNA to be sequenced, but its function was unknown until recently. It consists of 184 nucleotides that fold into an extended hairpin structure with a large single-stranded internal bulge. The 6S RNA specifically associates with RNA polymerase holoenzyme containing the sigma70 specificity factor.
Source: RNAcentral